GUGCCUAACACAUGCAAGUCGAGCGAUUCUCUUCGGAGAAGAGCGGCGGACGGGUGAGUAACGCGUGGGUAACCUGCCCUGUACACACGGAUAACAUACCGAAAGGUAUGCUAAUACGGGAUAAUAUAAGAAAUUCGCAUGUUUUUCUUAUCAAAGCUCCGGCGGUACAGGAUGGACCCGCGUCUGAUUAGCUAGUUGGUGAGGUAACGGCUCACCAAGGCGACGAUCAGUAGCCGACCUGAGAGGGUGAUCGGCCACAUUGGAACUGAGACACGGUCCAAACUCCUACGGGAGGCAGCAGUGGGGAAUAUUGCACAAUGGGCGAAAGCCUGAUGCAGCAACGCCGCGUGAGCGAUGAAGGCCUUCGGGUCGUAAAGCUCUGUCCUCAAGGAAGAUAAUGACGGUACUUGAGGAGGAAGCCCCGGCUAACUACGUGCCAGCAGCCGCGGUAAUACGUAGGGGGCUAGCGUUAUCCGGAUUUACUGGGCGUAAAGGGUGCGUAGGCGGUCUUUUAAGUCAGGAGUGAAAGGCUACGGCUCAACCGUAGUAAGCUCUUGAAACUGGAGGACUUGAGUGCAGGAGAGGAGAGUGGAAUUCCUAGUGUAGCGGUGAAAUGCGUAGAUAUUAGGAGGAACACCAGUAGCGAAAGGCGGCUCUCUGGACUGUAACUGACGCUGAGGCACGAAAGCGUGGGGAGCAAACAGGAUUAGAUACCCUGGUAGUCCAC
RNAcentral lists this ribosomal RNA (727 nucleotides) under uncultured bacterium. Its description in RNAcentral is "bacterial SSU rRNA". It matches the Rfam family "Bacterial small subunit ribosomal RNA", at positions 44 to 798 of the family's 1533-position model. The record is from RNAcentral.